Gossypium arboreum is the source of this 852-nucleotide RNA transcript. RefSeq lists it as uncharacterized. The transcript has 3 exons. Lineage: Eukaryota; Viridiplantae; Streptophyta; Magnoliopsida; Malvales; Malvaceae. The record is from RefSeq and is a predicted model, not a curated record.
CCCAACUAGUAUUAUUGCCAGGGUCUCGCCGUCCACGGAGAUCCAAAAGCAAAUGAUAUUGAAAAUGAAAAAUGUCUCUUCAAUAUAGGCCUUGAAAGGUUCCGCCUUGCUUGUAGAAUUCGUCUUUUUUACAUGUUCAAGUUUAAGGGGAGAUGUGCGGAAAACAUUUUCCGGAAAAUGUUUUCUUGAUUUUACGGUGUCUGGAAGCAUGAAAACAUUUUACAAAUGUAAAAUAUUUUUCUAGAGACGGGUAAAAUCUCAGUCAUUUUAGGGAAAAUGUCUUACGGAUUUUUUUUUCCAUCUCCUUCUUCGUCCAGGUUUGGGCAGCUCGUGUUGCUGUUGCUAUACUGAAGAAACUCAACUCAAAGAAUGGAUUAGAAAACGGAGGGAUCAAUUCCACAUUACAGAAAGCGGAACCUCAAAUGGUUGAAGCUGUAGUGCUAGCUUCCCUGGAAAAGUUCUUUAAAUCCGUUCUAAAUAUGCCGGAAGUGGAAAGAAAGUUUAGAGCGGUGGUUGAUGCAGCUUUGGAGGCCCAUCCGCACUGUCCGCAGCUAUAUCUUUAUAGCACAGCUAAUAAGGUUGUUCCGUAUAGCACUGUCCCCCUUCCUCUGCUGUCAAAUCCCCAACAGAUGUGAUUUGCAGCUCUUCCCUUUAGCAUUGAUGACCAGCUCAACGCUCGACAUUGCACGUUCUAUACGGUGGCCAUAGGCUGUUUCAGUUACUAGCCAACGACUGGUUUUAGUUUUAAAGUUAUUUGGUGCUAGCAAUGCUUGCAUUGCAUUGAGUUACUGAUGACAAACAUUUGAAAUAACAUGCAUUAAGACGCAUAGAUUUUUGUGCUUUGACAGCAAA